This 72-nucleotide transfer RNA is filed under the name Candidatus Nealsoniibacteriota bacterium. RNAcentral describes it as "Candidatus Nealsonbacteria bacterium tRNA-Arg". It matches the Rfam family "tRNA". Rfam says of the family: Transfer RNA (tRNA) molecules are approximately 80 nucleotides in length. The record is from RNAcentral. Lineage: Bacteria; Candidatus Nealsoniibacteriota.
GCCCUCGUAGUUCAAUGGAUAAAACAGGAGCUUGCGGAGCUUCAGUUGCAGGUUCGAGUCCUGCCGAGGGCA